GGCUCAGAACGAACGCUGGCAGCGUGGAUUAGGCAUGCAAGUCGAACGGGAAUCCAGGGCUUCAAGUUUUCGGACGAGAAGCUUUGGAGGAGAGUGGCGGAAGGGUGAGGAACACGUGGGUAAUCUACCUUCAAGUCGGGGACAACUUCUCGAAAGGGGAGCUAAUACCGGAUGUGGUCUCGCAACGCAUGUUGUGAUGCCUGAAGCUGGGGAUCCUUUGGGACCUGGCGCUUGAUGAGGGGCCCGCGUCCCAUCAGCUAGUUGGCAGGGUAACGGCCUACCAAGGCUUACGGGUAGCUGGUCUGAGAGGAUGAUCAGCCACACUGGGACUGAGACACUGCCCAGACUCCUACGGGAGGCUGCAGUCGAGGAUCAUUGUCAAUGCGCGAAAGCGUGAACAUGCGACGCUGCGUGGAGGAUGACAGCCUUCGGGUUGUAAACUCCUGUCAUGAGGGAACAAUUGUCCGGCCGUGAAUAGCGGUUGGGUUUGAUGGUACCUCAAGAGGAAGCCACGGCUAACUCUGUGCCAGCAGCCGCGGUAAUACAGAGGUGGCGAGCGUUGUUCGGAUUUACUGGGCGUAAAGCGUGCGUAGGCGGCAUCGUGUGUCGGAUGUGAAAGCCCACGGCUCAACCGUGGAAAUGCAUUCGAAACUGCGGGGCUUGAGUGCAGGAGGGGAGAGCGGAAUUCUUGGUGUAGCGGUGAAAUGCGUUGAUAUCAAGAAGAACACCGGUGGCGAAGGCGGCUCUCUGGAAUGCUACUGACGCUGAGGCACGAAAGCUGGGGGAGCGAACAGGAUUAGAUACCCUGGUAGUCCCAGCCGUAAACGGUGUCGACUUGGUGUGGGGGGUAUUGACCCCCCCCGUGCCGGAGCUAACGCGUUAAGUCGACCGCCUGGGGAGUACGGCCGCAAGGCUAAAACUCAAAGAAAUUGACGGGGGCCCGCACAAGCGGAGGAGCAUGUGGCUUAAUUCGAUGCAACGCGAAGAACCUUACCAGGGCUUGACAUGCAGCUGCAAGCCCCCCGAAAGGGGGGAAGCCUUCGAGGGUGCUGCACAGGUGCUGCAUGGCUGUCGUCAGUUCGUGCCGUGAGGUGUUGGGUUAAGUCCCGCAACGAACGCAACCCUUGUGUUUAGUUGCCACCGCAGGUGAUGAGCCUGCGAGCACUCUAGACAGACUGCCCGUACAAGCGGGAGGAAGGUGGGGACGACGUCAAGUCAGUAUGGCCCUUACGCCCUGGGCUGCACACGUGCUACAAUGGUCGGUACAGAGGGAUGCAAUACCGCGAGGUGGAGCAAAUCCCCAAAACUGGCCCCAGUUCGGAUUGGAGUCUGCAACUCGACUCCAUGAAGUUGGAUUCGCUAGUAACGGCGCAUCAGCUACGGCGCCGUGAAUACGUUCCCGGGCCUUGUACACACCGCCCGUCAC
Molecule: ribosomal RNA, 1426 nt
Filed under: metagenome
Description: bacterial SSU rRNA
Rfam family: Bacterial small subunit ribosomal RNA
Source: RNAcentral